RNAcentral lists this microRNA (22 nucleotides) under Magallana gigas (Pacific oyster). RNAcentral's name for it is "Mgi-Mir-1984-P1_5p (mature (guide))". Lineage: Eukaryota; Metazoa; Mollusca; Bivalvia; Ostreida; Ostreidae. The record is from RNAcentral.
UGCCCUAUCCGUCAGUCGCUGC